This 204-nucleotide long non-coding RNA is filed under the name Pan troglodytes (chimpanzee). Its description in RNAcentral is "long non-coding RNA NONPTRT016525". Lineage: Eukaryota; Metazoa; Chordata; Mammalia; Primates; Hominidae. The record is from RNAcentral.
GGGUCUGUGACAUGUGCUGGGUCUGUGAGGUGUGCACGGGUCUGUGACAUGUGCUGGGUCUGUGAGGUGUGCACGUGCCUGUGAUGUGUACUGUAUCUGUGAGGUGUGCACAGGUCUGUGAGGUGUGCAUGGGUCUGUGACAUGUGCUGGGUCUGUGAGGUGUGCACGGGUCUGUGAGGUGUGCACGUGCCUGUGAUGUGUACU